RNAcentral lists this long non-coding RNA (1043 nucleotides) under Triticum aestivum (bread wheat). Its description in RNAcentral is "long non-coding RNA (TAES_LNC004261)". Lineage: Eukaryota; Viridiplantae; Streptophyta; Magnoliopsida; Poales; Poaceae. The record is from RNAcentral.
AUAGCCAUCUCUUUAAGCUGAACACUAUCUGGCAUCUUAGGAAAAAACAUGCCAUUGUAGGAGUUAAUGGCACCUGUUUAGUCAGACUGAUAAAAGUGAAGCAAGUCGUUGUCCACAUGUGUAGCAUCCAAGUUACUUACCAGAACAUGCAAAACUGAACAUUCUAUACACCGCUCCCAGCUGCACUUUGCUAGAGAAAUAUAUGUGAAAACGGAAAGGCGUGGUAGCACCCGGGAGUCCCGACCCUCGGUUAUCCCGUGCGUUGAGCCCCGCCAAGAUUCGUGCCCUGUUACAAGCCACAGACCAUUUGCAGCGUAAGCGUGUCAGUCCAGUCCAUUUGACCAUUUUAAUAGCGGUGAUCAAUUCUUCUCGUGUGCUUGCCUAUUUCUGCAUUAGAGGUACACAUGACAGGCUUUCAAUUUUCCAUGAAAGAAAUCUGGAUCGAGGUGCUGGGUGAUAAUUAAUGGUCAAUUUGACGUCCGCACCCACCAAGCCACGCCAUAGGUUCUGCCCGUUCCUUUUUAAAAGUGACAAUUUCAGUGUAUGUUGCUGGAGUUUUUUGAUUGCUUCGCUUUGACGAGUAACAUGAUACAUGGGAAAAAAUAAAAAGGCAAAGAAGAAGCUAAAUCCUUCAUCCUGCGAAGAUAAAGACAAAAUAAAUAGUUUCAGGCCAAGUAAGCUUUGACAGAUUACCGGAGUUCUUUCUACAGCUUUUGGUCUGACAAAACAGAUGAAAUCUUGUUCAAGGCUAGCGAGGAAGUGCCCCAUGUAAACGAACAGGAAAUCUGCUUCUUACUGUCGUUGUUCUUUGGCUCUAUACAGGUUGCUCGAAUUAAGUCUUCCAUUCACCACCUAAAUUGAUCCUUUGUCUUCAUUCCGGUCAAUGGUAGCAGCAGCUCUCCUCAGGACAAUAAGUUAGCAUCCUUCAUUACAGUGCAUGUUCCGCACCAACUCAAAUUCCAUUAUCUGCAUAAUCCUAGGUCAUUGCACAUGUAAAUCUUAUUCCAACUCACCUGGAAUGGAUGCCAACCCCAAAUCAAACC